UACGUAGGCAGCGAGCGUUGUUCGGAGUUACUGGGCGUAAAGAGUGCGUAGGCGGUUUUCUAAGUUUGGUGUGAAAUCUCCCGGCUUAACUGGGAGGGUGCGCCGAAAACUGGAAGGCUUGAGUAUGGGAGAGGUAAGCGGAAUUCCUGGUGUAGCGGUGAAAUGCGUAGAUAUCAGGAGGAACACCUGCGGUGUAGACGGCUUACUGGACCAUAACUGACGCUUAGGCACGAAAGCGUGGGUAGCAAACAGG
Molecule: ribosomal RNA, 253 nt
Filed under: uncultured bacterium
Lineage: Bacteria
Description: partial 16S ribosomal RNA
Rfam family: Bacterial small subunit ribosomal RNA
Source: RNAcentral